GGAGGCAGGACGUCUUGGAAUAGCUACAAAACUAAUCCAAUCUUUUUUAGUUGACCGAAUCUAGGUGCAUUUUUAAUAGUGGUCAAAUAGAUUUUUGUGUUCCACCUCACAGAUCUGGGCAUUUAAAACUGACCCCCCACCCUCUCCCAACAAGAGUUCCCUUGUAACGUCCCCCAGUACAGGGCCUGGCAUCAGAUCCCAGCCUUGGCCAUCCACACAGAUCCAACACGCUCGGAAGCUCCCCUGCUCUACCCCCUCCCCGCCCCCCUUCCUUCCCCGCCGGCAGCGACUGCCCAGCACGUAAUUGCUAAAGGAAAGGGUCGCUUGUUUGCGGCCUCAUGCGGGAAUGAUUAAAGGUAGAAGUUUUUCAGACAUUAGCGACAGAAAGAGUAUAGUUAAGGCUGCUUUAAAAAGAGAGAGGCGUAUAAAGAGAUGGUACUCAAAGCACUAUUAAAAGCAUCAGGCUUGUUAAAACCAGUAAAAAGGCAGGGAAUUGGCGAGGGGAAGGCAGCUUCCUCUCCAAUUACGGUGAGGGGCACACACCUUGAAGGUCUCUUUGAAUUGCGGCCGCCAGCCCCUGCCCCCUCCCCUCUCCUCCGCCCCCUCCGCCGGGCCAUUCAUCGCUACAUUAGGGAGGAGGCAGAGGGUGACGAUGCUCCCCCAAGUUCACUUCUCGCUUGUUACAGGCGACCCAUUUAGAGCUGAAUGACUAUGUUCAGAGACAGCUCUAAAUGACACCCUCCACCUCUUCACGGAGCCACUUGGUUUUGUCUUUUUUUUUUUUUUUUGUAUCCCGGAGAAAUAAUUGAUAAACCGAACGGCCGGCCACCUUAAAGCUGGGCGCCUCCCUGGCCACCUGGUUAAAAUUCCUCCUCCGCUCCCCACCUCCCCACAUCCAUUUUGCUCUGUGCUGUUUAAACAAUACUUCAUCAAAUGCAGCCUGGAGCAAAUAAGAAAGCUCAGUAGAGUAAAUAAAAAGUCAAAAAAAAAAUCACCGGCUGGAGGCUCCAGAAGCCAUGCCUAUAAUACACACAAGACUUUGUUUCAAAUCAGUUUUUCAGUUGAGGAGGAAUUCAAACUCAGGAAAAGAAGAGGAAUUUACAUUUGACCACAAAGACCGGAGAGGUCUUUGCACACGUUUCUUAAGGGAAAGACAUUUAGGAACUUGGAAACGUUUAUGCCCUAUAAUCAUAGAAUGUGAGGAGCAGCCAGGCGUCUCUGAGGCCAGCAAGGUUAAUGACAUGAUUUUGGAGAUGAGAAAAUUGAGGCCAGAGAAAUCAAAUGACUCAUCCACAUCUGGGACAGGCCAAAGCAGGCACAGGGAUAAAGAACAACUGUUGAGAGAUGGAACUUGCAGCCCAGAUCCUUGGCCGGAGCGUCCCAGCGCUCUGCUUCAUCCAGUCCCAGCUGAUCAGAGUUUCAGCAAAGAGAGAACAUGCUUUCUUAACGGUACACAUGUUCGCUGAGAGUGGAGGAGGGGGGAUGAAGGAGAAGCAAGUUUUCCAUCUGAAAAGAACAUGAGCAUCUGCCUAGCAAUGAACUUCCCUGCUCUUGAACUUGUCAAUUCUUUUCCACCUCUUCAUUCAACACAAUUCAAAAGGCAUAACCUGAAAAAGGGCAUGAUGGAAAGAAGUACUGAGAUCCACUAAAGAAAAGGCACAAUAGUUAAUCAUCUCUUCUCUGGCAUCCUUCCUUCAACCCUACAAAAUAAACAAGUUGAGAAGUUCUUCAAUUUCUGUGACUGUAAGCGAUGUGGUGAAUUAAUGUUCCUAAAUGCUAGCACUGGGUAAAUGAAUUCAUUGUUGAGAAAGUUCUGGAUGAGCCAGUAGCCAAGUUAUUAAUUCCAUUAUAUAUCCUUGUUUGUGUCUGCUCUGGGAUAGAGAUGAGAGAGGAACAUUGUCAUGAAGAAACCCAUUAAAUAUACCUGCCUUUGUAAAAUCUUGCAUCUCAAACUAAAGUUGUACUAUGCUUUUCUUAAAGAACCCAAAAUUCUCAGUGGCCCUACCAAGAUAGGCAAUAAGUUUCUCAAAAAUCACAUUGGCACAUAGGUGCUUACAACUACUCAAUGAAUUUUUAACCAAUACGUAUCCACCUGGAAUUAAACCAAGAUGGACUCAUUAGAAGAGCUGUCAGGAUCGCUACCCAACAUGGUAACUCUCAGGACAGACAGUGGGAAGUCUCUAAAUGUCCCUUUGCAGGGCUUUCAAAGGGCUCAAUUCAGGUGUGGGAAACCUGUCUUUAAUAUUUUCAUUGCUGCUCCCAAUGUACUUCCAAUGUUAUUAAUUCACGUGCAGCAUUUCAUUAAAUGGGAUCCUCUUUGCAAA
Long non-coding RNA from Equus caballus (horse), 2324 nucleotides. The record is from Ensembl. NCBI's taxonomy places the organism in Eukaryota, Metazoa, Chordata, Mammalia, Perissodactyla, Equidae.